AAGUGGAGCAUUAACCUAAAACAAUAGCAACUUAGACCAUUUGUUGAAGUAGUCACUACACUAUUUUAAUCUCCGGUUCAAUUUGUUGAACUUUAUAAUGUUUUGCUAUUUUGAUCCGCGUUGCUUUAUAUUAUAUUGGUGUGGUUUCAGGAGAAGACAGAUCGAGACACAAAACAAGGCAAGAUCGUUACUGACAUUUUAUGCUGGACACUAGAUAAUUGUUCACCAGGACAUGUGAUAAUAAAACCUCCAUGACUUCGUGGCUGCUUUUUCAUUAUAUAUAGUUUAGGUCACCAUCUUGUCGUAGCACAACCUGAAAACGCAAUACCUUCUCCUGAAACGGAAAAUAUUUGUUGGGAAGACCUAUCAUUUGGAAAGUACUUAUGCCCGUCAAGGCUCACAAUUUAGACGAAACGAUCCACCAACAACUUAAGCUUUGAGUCUUUGACCAUAAGUGCGAGACGAUUUUCUUGUAUUGUUAAUUUGUUAUUGCUUGUUUUUGUGAACUGAUCCUUAGUUUUUUUUUUCAUCAAAAGUGAUCAUUUAGUUAAAGACUUAAAGUGCAAUGAGA
Molecule: unclassified non-coding RNA, 571 nt
Filed under: Arabidopsis thaliana (thale cress)
Lineage: Eukaryota; Viridiplantae; Streptophyta; Magnoliopsida; Brassicales; Brassicaceae
Source: RNAcentral